CAAGAAAUGGAGAAACUGCAUGGUAUUAGAAAAUAACAGGAGAUGGUGGGUGGAGACCAACAAUAACACUUGAAAGAGAGGUGCGAGAGCACGUUGAGAGCAUUUCCCCCAUGUCGGGACACCAGAGAUGUGGGGGAAAGUCAGCCAAGAGGCUCAUGGGAGCAGCUCUGGAGGAGGGAUGCCUGACUUCCUGUCUUGAAUUAUCUGCUACGCUGCGUGGUGUGCACCCCAUCCCCAUCCUCCUUAAUCUUGAGUCAGGGUCUUUGAUACACCCACCGACUUGUGUGAGCGUGGGGUGGUGGAAGCUGUGGCUGGGUUGGGGUGACAUGGGACAGAGAGAAGGAGACGGUCACAGGAGGUGAGCUGUGCAUGAGUUCAAGAGGUCAGGAGGUCAGAAGAUUGGAACAAGAGGUGACCAUGGGACUGUCACUCCCACGGAGUUUGCAGAAAUCUUGGGCAGGUUGUUGAGGAUGACUGUUCACC
Molecule: long non-coding RNA, 483 nt
Filed under: Homo sapiens (human)
Lineage: Eukaryota; Metazoa; Chordata; Mammalia; Primates; Hominidae
Description: non-protein coding lnc-WRNIP1-31:1
Source: RNAcentral